GAUGAACGCUGGCGGCGUGCCUAAUACAUGCAAGUCGAGCGAACAGACGAGGAGCUUGCUCCUCUGACGUUAGCGGCGGACGGGUGAGUAACACGUGGAUAACCUACCUAUAAGACUGGGAUAACUUCGGGAAACCGGAGCUAAUACCGGAUAAUAUAUUGAACCGCAUGGUUCAAUAGUGAAAGACGGUUUUGCUGUCACUUAUAGAUGGAUCCGCGCCGCAUUAGCUAGUUGGUAAGGUAACGGCUUACCAAGGCGACGAUGCGUAGCCGACCUGAGAGGGGGAUCGGCCACACUGGAACUGAGACACGGUCCAGACCCCUACGGGAGGCAGCAGUAGGGAAUCUUCCGCAAGGGGCGAAAGCCUGACGGAGCAACGCCGCGGGGGUGAUGAAGGUCUUCGGAUCGUAAAACCUUGUUAUUAGGGAAAAAAAAAUGUGUAAGUAAAUAUGCACGUCUUGACGGUACCAAAGCAGAAAGCCCCGGCUAACUACGU
This 496-nucleotide ribosomal RNA is filed under the name uncultured bacterium. RNAcentral describes it as "partial 16S ribosomal RNA". It matches the Rfam family "Bacterial small subunit ribosomal RNA", at positions 28 to 506 of the family's 1533-position model. The record is from RNAcentral.